Long non-coding RNA from Calidris pugnax (ruff), 523 nucleotides. RefSeq lists it as uncharacterized. The transcript is spliced from 3 exons. The record is from RefSeq and is a predicted model, not a curated record. Lineage: Eukaryota; Metazoa; Chordata; Aves; Charadriiformes; Scolopacidae.
UGUGUUCCCACCAAAUGCUAGACUAUUCAAAUACUGAGGCUUGCCCCCAUACUGCUUUCUAUGGACACGGAGCCUUAGUUCCCUCUGUAACCUCUUCUGUCCUUCUCUGUCAUUACAGUCUGGUGGUGCCUCGUGUCCCCGUUGUGCUCAGGGAAAGGCCCUGGAACAGGAGAGGUCUUUUGUUGUGACAGACCUCAGAGCUCAUGUUCUCUCCCUGUUGUGUGUAACUCCUCUGGAUUUGCCCUGAACAUAAGUUUUCUCCGUGAUUCCCCUGUUCUUCAAGCAAGGACAAUUAGGUUGGACAGACAGACAGACCUUGUUUGACUGGGGAAGUGUCCACAGACUUGGUGGAUCUACGUAAGUUUCUCUGCGUGCCUUUGGAAAGCCUGAGUAAGUUCCACAAGCUGGAGUGCCAAGGCAAAGCAGUGUGUUUCCCCUGGGGUUAGAGAUGACCUGAGCCUCUGUUGUGAAACUGGCUGGAAAGAAGCAUGUGGUACGAUGUAACACUGAUGGCAUGGGAUGU